CAACCCUCAGGCCUCAAGUUGCCUGGUGUUGGGGCACCUACCGUCACUCGUAGGCCCCGAAGAACAGUGGCAGUGCUCGCCAGCACUCCGGGCGCAGUAAUCUUUUCCUCGCCUAGGACGUCUGGUAGCUUACUAGCCGUAAAACCCCACUAUAUUAUCAAAGG
RNAcentral lists this unclassified non-coding RNA (164 nucleotides) under uncultured Ascomycota. RNAcentral's name for it is "sequence contains ITS2". Lineage: Eukaryota; Fungi; Ascomycota. The record is from RNAcentral.